CAGGCUUAACACAUGCAAGUCGAGGGGCAGCAUUUUAGUUUGCUUGCAAACUGAAGAUGGCGACCGGCGCACGGGUGAGUAACACGUAUCCAACCUGCCGAUAACUCCGGAAUAGCCUUUCGAAAGAAAGAUUAAUACCGGAUAGCAUACGAAUAUCGCAUGAUAUUUUUAUUAAAGAAUUUCGGUUAUCGAUGGGGAUGCGUUCCAUUAGUUUGUUGGCGGGGUAACGGCCCACCAAGACAACGAUGGAUAGGGGUUCUGAGAGGAAGGUCCCCCACAUUGGAACUGAGACACGGUCCAAACUCCUACGGGAGGCAGCAGUGAGGAAUAUUGGUCAAUGGGCGAGAGCCUGAACCAGCCAAGUAGCGUGAAGGAUGAAGGCUCUAUGGGUCGUAAACUUCUUUUAUAUGGGAAUAAAGUUUUCCACGUGUGGAAUUUUGUAUGUACCAUAUGAAUAAGGAUCGGCUAACUCCGUGCCAGCAGCCGCGGUAAUACGGAGGAUCCGAGCGUUAUCCGGACUUAUUGGGUUUAAAGGGAGCGUAGGUGGAUUGUUAAGUCAGUUGUGAAAGUUUGCGGCUCAACCGUAAAAUUGCAGUUGAAACUGGCAGUCUUGAGUACAGUAGAGGUGGGCGGAAUUCGUGGUGUAGCGGUGAAAUGCUUAGAUAUCACGAAGAACUCCGAUUGCGAAGGCAGCUCACUAGACUGUCACUGACACUGAUGCUCGAAAGUGUGGGUAUCAAACAGGAUUAGAUACCCUGGUAGUCCACACAGUAAACGAUGAAUACUCGCUGUUUGCGAUAUACAGUAAGCGGCCAAGCGAAAGCAUUAAGUAUUCCACCUGGGGAGUACGCCGGCAACGGUGAAACUCAAAGGAAUUGACGGGGGCCCGCACAAGCGGAGGAACAUGUGGUUUAAUUCGAUGAUACGCGAGGAACCUUACCCGGGCUUAAAUUGCAACAGAAUAUAUUGGAAACAGUAUAGCCGUAAGGCUGUUGUGAAGGUGCUGCAUGGUUGUCGUCAGCUCGUGCCGUGAGGUGUCGGCUUAAGUGCCAUAACGAGCGCAACCCUUAUCUUUAGUUACUAACAGGUUAUGCUGAGGACUCUAGAGAGACUGCCGUCGUAAGAUGUGAGGAAGGUGGGGAUGACGUCAAAUCAGCACGGCCCUUACGUCCGGGGCUACACACGUGUUACAAUGGGGGGUACAGAAGGCGGCUACCUGGUGACAGGAUGCUAAUCCCAAAAACCUCUCUCAGUUCGGAUCGAAGUCUGCAACCCGACUUCGUGAAGCUGGAUUCGCUAGUAAUCGCGCAUCAGCCAUGGCGCGGUGAAUACGUUCCCGGGCCUUGUACACACCGCCCGUCAAGCCAUGAAAGCCGGGGGUACCUGAAGUACGUAACCGCAAGGAGCGUCCUAGGGUAAAACUGG
Molecule: ribosomal RNA, 1425 nt
Filed under: uncultured bacterium
Lineage: Bacteria
Description: 16S ribosomal RNA
Rfam family: Bacterial small subunit ribosomal RNA
Source: RNAcentral